GUCAAGUUAAAAAAAAAUAAAAAAUAAGUUGUACAUAUCAAUAUUAACAAGUUGUUAAUAAUUAGUAUCAAAGAAUCUUUUAAUUAUUGUUUUUAUUUUUGUUUAUUUUUUUCCUAUAUUGUUUUUAGAAAAAAGUAUAUUCCUGGUCAAGUGAAAACUAACAGCUGAAAUUAUUUAUUAAUGUGAUUUGCCCAGUGGUCUUUAAAUUCUUAUGGAACAUCUCUAUUUUCUAAUUAGAGUUUUGUGAACUGAUGUAUGUGUGGAGUACUAGUGCUGUUGGUUUAGAUCUGGGAAAGUCAGUGAAGAAGACAGAAAACAGAGAAGAUACAAAGUUAUAUAAUCGAGGACAUAAUAAAAGAAAGAAUAUGUCUGCCAACGAUGAAAUGUUCGGCUCUCCCCGCUAUCUUUCCUGGCGAAAGAUGCACCUCUCCAAAGCCAAAUUGAAAGCUUCCAGCAAAACCUCAGCCUUGCUAUCAGGUUUCGCGAUGGUGGCAAUGGUGGAACUACAGCUCAACAACGAAUCUUCAAUUCCUGGACCAGUUCUAGUAGUGUUCGCCGUUAUAACCACCCUAUUGGUUGCCGUACAUAUGCUAGCAUUAAUGAUUAGCACAUGUAUCCUACCCAAUAUUGAAACAGUUUGUAGUUUGGACUCAGGAAUAAACUUCGUUGAUGAAUCACCCCAUGAAAGGCUUCACUGGUACAUAGAAAUAGCCUGGGCAUUUUCGACUUUACUGGGUCUUUUACUGUUUUUAGCAGAAAUAGCCAUUAUUUGUUGGCUAAAGUUUUAUAACGUGAACACAACGGCUGCUUGGUCGGCUUGUGUCGUACUAGUGCCUAUUUUAUUUGUGUUUUUAGCGUUCGCGAUACAUUUUUAUCGCUCACUUGUAGCGCACAAGUACGAAAUAAGUAUGAAAGAAUUAAAACGAAUAGGCGAGCAAAUAGGAGACAUGGCUGGUACCAAAUUGUACUCGGACGAAAUUCAUAAUAAUAUCCAUGUAGUUUGAAGGGAUUUCGUUAGAAGAUUAAACAUUGGCUGUGAUCUUAAAGAAAAAUGAAGACAAGCACGAAGAAAAAGCAUUCGAUCAAAUUAGACAUGAAGACUGUGAUGAAACCGCUGUUUUCCCGAUUCUUGAAAAGUUCAUCUAUGAUUUGUACAACUUUCCGUUGUUGAGAUGCGUAAAUGAUGCGCGAUUCGCCUUAUUUUUAAAAACCUAAAAGGUCAAGGAUUUGGAUGAACCUUUCCAGAAAAAAAAAUUACAGGAUUUUGACUCAUCCACUUUACCUCCUAGCCAGGCUGAAUUAACGCAGCAUUUAUUGAGGACCAAAUAUAUUGCUACAAUAUGGAAAAAUGCUCAUAAGAAAAUUCCAUCAUAUUUACUACCUGAAAAUUGCGGAUGGAUAUUAGUAGAUUGGAAAUUAUCAAUUUAAAUGUUUCGGCGGGCCAUAGCUGCCUAGUAUAAUACAAGAUAUUAUCGAUACUGGAACAAACGAAGGCAAUGAAGACUUUAAUGCAGAAAGCGAAUCAAAUGAAGAUGAAUAUAGCGAUAGCGAAGGAGAUAUCACGUCCGAAUCGAAUUCCGAUUCCGAUUGCGAUUUUUUUUCAGCCGGCGUGGUAGCCCCUCGCAAAAUACCUACCAAUUUUUUUACACUUUUUAAAAGAUAAAACCAAACUUUUUCCGUAAAUAGAAUCCCUGUAACUUAAGAAUUUUUUUCCCACCCAAAAUUCACCCCUUUCACUACGUAUCCCCCCUUAGCGCCCCAGUUUUGCAAUGGCAGACAUUCAUUUUUAUAUUCGCCUACACUGAUACUAUUAUUUUCAAUAUAAAUUAGCCAUGUACCUGAUGCGGGCACUUUCAUGUAGCCAGCUCUUAGACUAUCACAAUCGCACUGUUUAUAUCCCUGUCCUCCAAAUAUACUGUUUUCUGAUGCAGCUUGUCCAAGGCUAGCCGCAUAUUGAACGUAGGACCUUUGCAUGUCCUAGCUAUUUGUCUUUUUUUGUUAUGUAUAUAUUUACCUAUAUUGUCAUAUAAAGAGCAUAAUUAAAUUGAAGGUACCUAAUAGUUAUUAGAAUUAAAUAUGUCUACAGAAGACGAACUUUGUUUGAAUUCAGAAUCGGAUUCGGAAAUCAAGAAUAUUCUGUUGUGUUUCUAUUUAAAACGGCGAAAAAAGUGUUUAGGUGAAAGUACUCAUUUAAAAAAAAGAAGAACGCAUGGAGAAUUUAAUCUCUUAAGUGAUUUAAGUGACGUUCAAAUUAAACAAUAUUUGUACGCAUAUAGUCUUUGUGACUUGUAUCAUAUAAUACUUUAUUUUCCCGCACGAGUUCAAUUAGGAGUUCCAUUUUUUUACAAAACAGUUGCCACUCUGCAGAGAAAACUGUGCACACUCCACAACCGACAGAGGCCGGACAGAGUACUCUGUUACUAUGUCGCGCAGGCCUCGCCUCUGCUACGUCCAAUAUGCGGCGUUUAAUUUAAUUGCGUGUGUUACAAAAUCCUCUGCUGCCCUACGUUCAAUAUGCGGCUAGCCUAAGGGAGCUUUCUUUUUCUUUUACAGUCUCACUACACAGACAUCCGACACAGCCAGAAAAGAUAGAGUUAAAAUAAAAAAGUUCCUCCCGCUCUUCCGUAGGGGUUAACGAUAAUGCCUAGACAAAUACGAAAAAAUAUUAUUUCAUUCACUGUUUAUCAAUAUUUCCCUUGUUUGGAUGCUUACGUUAUUGCCAGGUCAUUAUCAUUAGUAUCCAAGGCAGUCGGAGAUAUACAGUAAUAACCGGUCGCUAUCGUUAAUGACCGAAUUAUCAUCAUUGUCCGUAACAUAUAUAACAUACAGGUUGGGGAAUCCAUCAUUACGCGUAGAGGGGUGCUCAAAGACGAAAUAUGGCAACGAGCAUGCGUCUAACUUUGAUGGUGGUAAAUAUAUUACGAGCUCUAAAGUUAUAUGUCGGAACAAGCAUUUAUUUUGCAAAUAAAAUGCCAAUUAAACGAAUUUUUUUUAUUUUCAUAUUUUUUAAUUGUAAAUAUGAAAUUAACAA
This 3031-nucleotide unclassified non-coding RNA is filed under the name Anthonomus grandis grandis. RNAcentral describes it as "calcium release-activated calcium channel protein 1- like". The record is from RNAcentral. Lineage: Eukaryota; Metazoa; Arthropoda; Insecta; Coleoptera; Curculionidae.